GACAGAGGGUGCAAACGUUGCUCGGAAUCACUGGGCGUAAAGGGCGCGUAGGCGGACAAGUAAGUCGGGCGGUGAAAAUCCCUAGGCUCAACCUAGGAACUGCACUCGAAACUGCCUGUCUUGAGUACCGGAGAGGAAAGCGGAAUACCUGGUGUAAGAGGUGAAAUUCGUAGAUAUCAGGAUGGAACACCAGUGGCGAAGGCGGCUUUCUGGACGGUAACUGACGCUGAGGCGCGAAAGCGUGGGGAGCGAACAGG
RNAcentral lists this ribosomal RNA (257 nucleotides) under uncultured bacterium. Its description in RNAcentral is "partial 16S ribosomal RNA". It matches the Rfam family "Bacterial small subunit ribosomal RNA", at positions 524 to 776 of the family's 1533-position model. The record is from RNAcentral.